GCUCAAUUUUUUUUUUGUCUAUUAACAAUAUUUAUCUCCUUCUAAAGCAUUAGUUUCACCUUUUGAUUUUUCUGUUGAUGGAAUUGCAUUCUACGUUUCAGACAACAAGGUGAUUUUGACUGAAGGCAUUGAUGGUGUAGUACCUGUUGAUUACUUCCACAAGAUCGAGUCUUGGCCUAGUCGACAGCCAAUUCCUUUCUGAUUACUUUUUUUUUUUAUGGACAACAUCAUUGACUUAUUACCACCAAACAAUGCAACUGGUGAAACAAGUUUUUUUAUCAGUCACGUUUUAAUCUAUUCUUUUAUCGAUUUUCAUCUGUUAACAAUACACCAAUAUUUGAUCAUGGCUGUUGUUUCCAUACUCAUAAGUUAAUAGAUAUUUCAACUAAUUUAUUUGGAGCCUACUUAGAAUUUUAUGUUUUCGUAUAUUUUAUUAGAAUUGUUCAUCAAAUAUCAUUUUUUUAAUGGAACUCAUGUGAGAUGAUUUUUAAUUUUAUAUGUAUGUUUAUUGCUUUAAUAAAGUUUUAUAAGCAUGGAUCCUAUAAUUUUUAUUGGUGAAUCUAACACUACUAAAAGUCGAAUAUGAAGAGUAAAGAGGGUGUCCACGUCAACCAUUAAAAUCAACCAAUAAGGUUGCUUAGUUUUUCCACGUCAAACCGAAUUGGACUGGUCUUGGGCUGUAUUUUUUUUUAACCGUGAAAAACGAAGAAACAUGUUGAUCAAAAGCCCUGGUCCGAUAAAGUCGGAUAAUGUCGUGAAUCUUUGACGUCUCUCUUCUCUUCGCUCUUUGGAAACCCUAAAUGAAUCUCUUCGACAACUCCUCCCUUCGCCGUUUCCCCUUCCUCAACGGAUAGAUUAAUCGACACCAUAUUCAUUAGUGAGCAAUGAAUCCUCUGAGUUUCUCAUUAAUGGAUUCUUUUCGCCUUAUCCUCUCUACCUCUCUUUAUAAGUCUCUUCUUUUCACAGAAUUGUUACAGAAAAAAAAAACACUCAAACGAUGAAUUCCAGCAGAAAAUUCCAAAACGAUCUUACCGCGAAUAAACCAAACGGAAAAGACGAUGUCUCCUCAGAAGUCUCCGGCGAUCCUAAGUCGAAGAAACCAAACGGCAAAUCCGUUGACUCCUCUGCCGAGCUGCUAUGUUCAAUGAUAAAAAAGGAAGAGGUCGUCUCAACUGGAGAUCUUCCCACGCUCAUCUCAGACUCCAACGAGCAGGUAACUCAUGAUUUCACUAUACUUUAUUACUCAGAUCAAAAUAGAAACAACGAAUGGUAGUCACCUCCGCUACUGACUGCUGAAAAAAGAUCAAAGCUUUAUUUUAUUUUUUUCUCUUUUCUUCUUUGUAUGACUGCGAAAGAUUUUUCAUUCUGUGUAUUAACUGAUAGUUCAACCGAUUGCUUUAUAACUACGAUGUUAUCUUAUAUUUUCUUCUCUUCGUUUUUGUUCUCUGUUUCUUUUUAUGUGAAUCUAAUUGAUAAAAAUGUUCCUCUUGGACAUGUAAAUUGGUUUCUGACUGGUGCUUGAAGCCUUGAAGAUAUACCUCUGUAUAUUGACUUCUCUCUAUGAAAAAUUACUAUUCUAAAAGGAUGAGAGCAGUUUUCUAUUUUCAGAAAAAUGAUCAUACCGUCGGAAGCUCGAUGGAGAGCUGGAAGAUGCAGAGCAAAAGGUCCCGGAAAUUAGGAAGACAGAUAAUAACGUGUGUGAGUUGUCUAUGAAACAAAAACCGGCAACUAAUGGGGUAAAGAGAAUGAUGGAAACCAUGGAGAUUCUAAUGACGCUGGAAAGAAGCUAUGAGUUGAUAACAUCAAUGCCGACAGUGGUUUUCCUGAGGCAGAGUAUCCUGGUGACGAUAUUCCUGGAGCUGGAGCUGUUACAACAAAGCUCUCUCAAGGUGUGACCAGGGAAGCCCCAGAAACAAGCAUUGGGAUGGUAGAAGGAACUACAACUGCCACAGCUGUCUUACCUCCUGAACCUGUUCCAAGUGGAUUCACUGCUGAGAGGUCACCGCUGCUGGAAGACACGUUGCUGCUGUUUUUUUCUCCUUUUUCUUUCCUUUCUCACUGUGAAAUAUUGAUUUAAAUGUUUACAAAUUGAACUCCCUCCAGAAUAAAAUUAGACUCAUGUACGUGAUCGAUGUACCCAGACUGUUGAAGCAUUAUUCAGCCAAGAAACAAGAAUCGCGUGUUAGAUUUA
Long non-coding RNA from Brassica napus (rape), 2191 nucleotides. RefSeq lists it as uncharacterized. NCBI's taxonomy places the organism in Eukaryota, Viridiplantae, Streptophyta, Magnoliopsida, Brassicales, Brassicaceae. The transcript has 2 exons. The record is from RefSeq and is a predicted model, not a curated record.